This 375-nucleotide ribosomal RNA is filed under the name uncultured organism. Its description in RNAcentral is "partial 16S ribosomal RNA". It matches the Rfam family "Bacterial small subunit ribosomal RNA", at positions 527 to 897 of the family's 1533-position model. The record is from RNAcentral.
GUACUGUGCAAACGUUGUUCGGAAUCACUGGGCUUAAAGGGUACGUAGGGCGGCCAGUUAAGUAGGGGGUGUGAAAUCCCCCGGGCUCAACCGGGGAACUGCGCUCUAAACUGACUGGCUUGAGUGAGAUAGGGGUGUGCGGAACUUCCAGUGGAGCGGUGAAAUGUGUUGAUAUUGGAAGGAACGCCGUUAGCGAAAGCGGCACACUGGGUCUCAACUGACGCUGAGGUACGAAAGCCAGGGUAGCGAACGGGAUUAGAUACCCCGGUAGUCCUGGCUGUAAACGUUGAGCACUAGUCGGGAGGGGCUUCGGCCUUUCCGGACGCAGCGAAAGCACUAAGUGCUCCGCCUGGGGAGUAUGGUCGCAAAGGCUGA